Dipodomys ordii (Ord's kangaroo rat) is the source of this 65-nucleotide non-coding RNA. Lineage: Eukaryota; Metazoa; Chordata; Mammalia; Rodentia; Heteromyidae. The record is from Rfam.
GGUGGCUUAGUGGUAGAGUGCUUGCCUUGCAUGCAUGAGACCCUGGGUUCAAUUCCUCAGCACCA